AACCUCAUGGUGCUUACCCCAGGCUGUAUUCUUAUACUGACUGCACAGAAAGGAGUAAAUCCAACCAUCAGACAGGCCCUUUGCCUGGUCUGUACUACGAAUGGGAGGGCAUGG
This is a small nucleolar RNA of Panthera leo (lion), 114 nucleotides long. NCBI's taxonomy places the organism in Eukaryota, Metazoa, Chordata, Mammalia, Carnivora, Felidae. The record is from Ensembl.